This 201-nucleotide ribosomal RNA is filed under the name uncultured bacterium. Its description in RNAcentral is "partial 16S ribosomal RNA". It matches the Rfam family "Bacterial small subunit ribosomal RNA", at positions 328 to 539 of the family's 1533-position model. The record is from RNAcentral.
ACGCUCGACACCUACUGGAGGCAGCAGUCGGGAAUAUUGCGCAAUGGAGGAAACUCUGACGCAGUGACGCCGCGUGCAGGAAGAAGGUUUUCGGAUUGUAAACUGCUUUAGACAGGGAAGAAAGAAAUGACAGUACCUGUAGAAUAAGCUCCGGCUAACUACGUGUCAGCAGCCGCGGUAAUCUGAGCGGGCUGGCAAGGC